GAGUUUGAUCCUGGCUCAGAACGAACGCUGGCGGCAUGCCUAACACAUGCAAGUCGAACGAAGGCUUCGGCCUUAGUGGCGCACGGGUGCGUAACGCGUGGGAAUCUGCCCCUCGGUUGGGAAUAACACAGAGAAAUUUGUGCUAAUACCUUAUAAUGUCUUCGGACCAAAGAUUUAUCGCCGAGGGAUGAGCCCGCGUAGGAUUAGCUGGUUGGUGGGGUAAAGGCCUACCAAGGCGACGAUCUGUAGCUGGUCUGAGAGGACGACCAGCCACACUGGGACUGAGACACGGCCCAGACUCCUACGGGAGGCAGCAGUGGGGAAUUUUGGACAAUGGGGGCAACCCUGAUCCAGCAAUGCCGCGUGUGUGAAGAAGGCCUUCGGUUGUAAG
RNAcentral lists this ribosomal RNA (391 nucleotides) under uncultured Alphaproteobacteria bacterium. RNAcentral describes it as "bacterial SSU rRNA". It matches the Rfam family "Bacterial small subunit ribosomal RNA", at positions 9 to 429 of the family's 1533-position model. Lineage: Bacteria; Pseudomonadati; Pseudomonadota; Alphaproteobacteria. The record is from RNAcentral.